This 14847-nucleotide long non-coding RNA is filed under the name Vitis vinifera (wine grape). RNAcentral's name for it is "long non-coding RNA (VVIN_LNC002476)". The record is from RNAcentral. Lineage: Eukaryota; Viridiplantae; Streptophyta; Magnoliopsida; Vitales; Vitaceae.
GGGAUCUUGCUCGUCGAGGAAGAGAUCGUCGGGAACUCUAAAUGCGCCGUGAGCGCAAACGAUGGCCGCACCGACCAUGAGAGCGGAGAUGAGAACGGAUCCGACGCUGGUGAGGAAAAUGACGACGACGCUGAGGACAACGAGGAUGCCAAGGGUCUCGCGGUCGGAGAAAGUGCGGCCGAAGAGGACGAGAGGAGGAUCGGAGGGGCGGAAGAGGUAGAGGAAGAGCCAGGCGGCGAGGAGAGAAAGGAGGAGGAGGAGAGAGAAAGGGUUGGUGAGGAGAGAGAAGGCAAGGGUAAGGGCGAUGAGGGAGAGGUAGUUGACGCGGAAGUAGGUGUAGUUCUUGCGUACGCGAAGGGCGGCCUCGGAGAAGGACUCGGGGCGGGAGAAAGCGUUGCGGUCGACGAGCUCGGACCAGGGGCGGCGCUGAGCGAAGCCGUUGCGGACGGAAUCGGUGAUGUGGGUGAUAAAUAAGCGGACAGCGGGUGUGGCGACCGGAGGCUGCGAUUGAACGGAUGUGGCGGUGGUUUCUGGGUUGGAAAUGGGGAGAAUUGGAGGAGACGAAGUCGCCAUCGAUGGGGGUUUUGGAGGUCGACGAUUUGUGUUAGGCAAGACUGGAUUUGAGGGGGGUGGGUGGCAGAUCUUUGGGGAUAUAUCUAUAGCGUGGAUGUAGGGAGAAAGAACGUAUUGCGUUGUUUCCCCACAAUUCCACCGACUUUAGGUGAGAGAGGGCAAUACACCACGAUGGACCAAGGUGGGGCCGGUCCACCCCUGCACCAUACUUGAUUGUAUUUUCCCUUCUGACCAGCCUUCAUGCGGCUAUUAAAAUUAGGAAUUUAUUUUAUUCUAUUUUUAAAUUCAUUUUCCUAAAUGGGAAGUCGUCAUAUAACUCUUCAAACCUCGUUCGUAUAUCGUAUAUAAGAAACGCGUUUGGAUUAUUCGUAGGACUAGGACCGAUAAAGGGCACUCAGGUUGCUUAAUGAGCAAGCAAGCCAAGCCCGGACCAACUUACCCGCCGUAUGAUUUGUAAAGUUUACCUUAUUUCCCGUCGACAGAAAAAUUAACACGCAUCGUGUGCGUGCUUACCUCGCAAAAGAAACAAAGAUGGUGUAAUAUUUGGAGAUGCAGAAUUCUGAGCUUGAGUCAUCCCUUGACAACAAGACAGCCCCAAGUUGUGACCUGUGUCAUGGCAACAGCCACGAAAAUCAGCCUACAGCAUCAGAGGCAGGUCUUUCAAGAGGACGGUAGCUUUAACCACUGAAGUAAAAACGAAAAUAAUUCCAAAUUUAUCAUAAUUUUUGUUAUUUUUAUCAAAUAAAAAAAGAAAAAUAAAAAUAUUUUAUUUUAAAAAAAUCAUAAGGAUGAUUUUAAUUUUUUUAAAAAAAAAAAAAUUAUAGGCUAUAAUUUAAAAUGAAAUAAAUCGUAUUUUUCAAGGAAUGAUUUUUACAUUUUUUUUUUAUUUGAUAAAAAUUAUGAUAAAUUUGAAAUUAUUUUUUUCAUUAUAGUAGAUUUAGAAUUAUUUUUUUAUUAUGGUAGUUUAGAAAUUAUUUUUUAAUUCCAAAAUAUCAAUAAGCAAAAAUUCGAUAUUUCAAUCUCAGGUAUUAUAGAAAACAUUUUUAAUAUUUUUAAUACUUAAAAAAAUUUAUUAUUUAAAUAUUAAAAAUAUUUUUUUAAAUCACUUUCAAAUACCCUCGAAAACUAUGGCGAAUGAACCUUUAUGUUUGGGGCACAAAUCCUAGAAUUCAUCCCUCUAAGCAUACAAAGUCUAUUGCCUGCCUGCACAUGUUCCAGGUGGGAAGAGAAACGAGAACAAUAAUAUAAACUAUUUCAGGUGAAGAAAUUGAAAUUCUAAUGCCCUGAGGUUUUGGAUGCCACUACAGUUCUAGCUUCAUAAGUAACCAGGAAUCUCAUAUGGAAAAUCAUCCAAAAUGAAAUAUCAUUUCAAUGAAAAAUACAAGGAAAACCAAAAUAGAAAGGAAAAAGAAAAAAUAAAUAAAUAAUAAAAAUAGAUUUAAAACAAAUAAAUUAUUUAUAUAUAUAUUAAUUUAAAGUCUUUUGGUUUAUUUAACCCUUUCAUAUAAGAUUAAAUAAUUUUAAAAUAUACAAUUUUUUUCUAAUUUUAAUUAUAUUUGAAUUUUCUUUAACAUCUUUUAUAAUAUUAAUACUAGUAUCAUUGUAACUGUUUUUCAAUUUUGGUAGGAUCUUGGGACAAAAGGGUAUCAUAUUUGGGUUAUGAGAAAAUGUGGGAAAGAAAAAUUUUCUAUUUGUAUGCACACAUUUUGUGAAAAAUCCUGCAAAAUUAGUGAAACAAUAAGACAAUGCGAACAAAGAUUUAUUGAAAUUGACAAAUUAUGGGAUACAAUUUCUAUGGUAAUAUUAUUUUACAAAAAAAAAUGUCCUUCUAAUUCUUUCGUUUUGACCACAACUCGAAUAAUAAUAACCCUGAGGGGUAGCUCAGUUGGUCAGGCCUUGGGUUUGCUCCCCAAUGGUCACCAGUUCGAGUCCCCUCAGGGCCACUGGAGGUUUACCCGGUCGUUAACUUCAGGACCCCGUGGGAUUAGUCGAGGUGCGCGUAAGCUGGCCCGGACAUCCACGGUUAUAAAAAAAAAUAAAAAAUAAAAAAAAAAUAAUGGUAAAAUUGUUUUCUUAGAUUUGAAAAUCUCAGAGAGGUCUACAGAAAAUUCUGGGAAAACGUCAAUGGUUGCUGUCUUAUUUGGCAAAGAAAAAUAGAACACGUUCUAAAGAAUUAAUUGGUCAGUUGGGUAUUCAGGAUUCAAAAAUUCGUUAAUUUCAAGAGUCCUUUUGAAUUAUUUGAUUUAGUAGAUCUUGAAUUUUGAUGAACUUCUUUUCGUUUUCAGCAAUUCAUGGAAGAAUGAAUCAGGGCUAAAAUGACUUUUCUUCUCAAAUGAACUUGUUAAAUGACGAUAAACAUGUGUAACACUUCUACCAUUUAUCAAACUUGUAAAGAGAUUUUAUAAAGAUUUUUUCUUUUGUUCUGAAGCCUAUUUUCCCAUACAAAGUUUUUCUCCUAUGAUUUUUCUAGUCUCCUCUAGAUUUUUCCUUUAGAUUUUCUACGAUCUAGAUUUUCCCCAUCUCCAAUUUUCUCUCCCUUUUUCGAAAGAAGUCGCCUCUAUUUAUACGUGAAGAUAGAAAAUUAAAUUUUGAAUUCCCGAAUUUUAAUUGUUUAAUUUAAAAGAUUUAGUUAUUUUAGUAAUUUUUCUUAUUCCGAAGGUUUUACAAACAAGAUAAUAAUAAAAAUAAUAAUAUAUUUUGGAGGGGUAGUUGGAAGGCCUAUCUAAACUCUAUGUAGAAAAUAUAUUUUAUUAAUUUUAUUAUAUAAAACCAUGUUUGCAAUGAAACCUGUCAUAAACUUAUGGGCAUUUGAUCUUUAGAUAUGGACAAGGGAAAGAAUGAUUACCAAUGUAUAGAGAAAAAAAAAUUACUACCUCUUCUCAAAAUAACUUACUAAUACUAAAACAUCUCUAUUAACAAGAGUACAAGAUGACAUCACUUUAAAAACUACAACACCAAAAUAUUUACUACUCCAAUGGGCCAAACCAAUUCAACAAACCCUAAACCGAAGGUAAUUGCUCAUUUUGUCCUCAUUCCCUACUAGUGGUGUUUUGAUUCUUGAUUUUGAACAUAUCAAAGUUGUAAAAUGUUUUAUCUUGAUAGCAUGCUAUCUUCAUUGAGAACAUGGUCCAUAUGACAAGGAGGAACCAUCCAAAAUAUGAGAUAAGGAUCAAGAUCAACAAAGUUGCAAAUACUGUUCCACUCAAGAACCUAACAUAACCCAAAAUAAGGAGAUAUCUUCCAUCAUCUUCAAUUUUGACAAUUCCAUCAGAAUUAAAGAUCUUAUAAACCACAACCACCAUGAAAUAUAUAGAUGUUGCAAAUAAGGAGAUUUACAUAGCUAUAUUGUGUUGGACAAACAGAGAAACAUUCUCAUGUUAGUACUUUACAAGAGUAGCUAAACCCAGAAUCACAAGGAAAUAGAUGAAAUUUGAUAAAGCUUUGUUAUGAAAACAAUAAAUAAACAAAAAGGAAAUUCAAUUAGAUUUAUGAAAAUAAGACACUAAUGGCACUAAUUCAAAAAAUUAGGUAAAUUUGAUCAAAUCAAUCCUUUUCUCUAAUUUUAGAGAAUACUAUAUAGUUUCAUCUAAAAUAAUUACAUUUUUAGAAUAUUAAAAGUACAUGAGAAAUAAAUUAAAGAAAUAUGAGGACUGAUUUCCAAAUGGAUACUAGAAUAAUUCAAUUUUCUUUUAAGAUUCCAUUUAAAAUUAUAGCUUGAGAAAUUUAGUGUCUAUAAGUAAAAGAACAUCGAGGGAAAAUGGUGAAACGUCAAUAAUGGUAUUAUUUUUCUUGAAACCAUACAUGAGAGAUAAUUUUAAUGAGUUAAGGUAUACUUUCAAAUGAGUAAAUACCAAAUGAAGAUACAAAUACAAUGCUAAAUUUAAUUAAUGAAUGCCAAGUGAAAAUUAAUGAAAUAUAAAAGUUGAAGGAAAUGAUUUAAAAAAAGUGUAUUGAAUUAAACAAACGGUUGAGUAAGUUGAAAAGAAUAUUAAAAACAAAAUGGAGAUGAAUGGAGUAACAAAAUGGAAAAAAAAUGAUAUGAGACAAAAGCUGUUGAGGCUUUUGAUGCAAGAAAAUUGUUAGAAAAAUUGAGCUAAUUUAACCUAAGGUAAUCACCCUAGGGGUGAGGUUGGGGGUGGGAGGAGGAGGGAGGGGUGAAUAGAGUGAUGAUUUUUUUUUUUUUUUUUUUGUAAAUUUAAAUUAUGUGAAUGCAAGAGAUAAUUAUAUGCAAAUAUAUAAUAAAACAAUAUAAGGACAAUUGCAUAUAAUAAAACAUAAAAUUUUUAUAGUGGUUCGGCGCAACCCGGCCUACGUCCACUUUCCUCUAACUUCAAUCCCAAGCUUGAGGUUCCACUAAUUCAAGGCUUCCAAACCAAACUUUCAAGCAAUACAAUUGAAUUAUGGUUUCAAUCCACUUUUUUGAACUUUUGGCUCCAUACACCAUUUAUAAUCUUCAAGAGAUACCUCACUCUUGAAUACCCCUCAAGUGAUACCCCACAUUUAGAUUAUUCCUCUCAAAGAUUUACAAAUAAAGAUAAGAAAUAAUCUCACAAAAUUCUAUUACAAAAUUUAAGGAUCAAAUGAUACAAGAAAACUAAAAUUGAAUGGUGCACUAAUAAUAUGCAAGUUUUAGAACAAUGGUUUGCUUAAAAACACUCUUCUAAUGCUCAAAUAUAUUCAAGAAAUGUUUAAAAAGGUUAAACUCUUGAAACAAUGAAAAUUAGAGCCUUUUAUAGAGGAAAAAUAUUAAACUAAUCGUUGGAGGUUCGUCUGGUCGAGCUUUGGUUCUAUCAAUUCAUUAACCGUUAGCAUUUAAUGCAUGACAGGUGACCGUUGGACGUCAACCGCCCCUCAACUAGUUGAGUUUCAUCAUCGACUAGUUGAAGUUGAACCCCAAUUGAUUGAACAAGUGUUCUAAAAGAAAGAUAAUGUUUUGCAUCCUUCAACCAAUUGAACUAAAUAAGUCGAUCGAUUCCUUAUCUGGUUUAAUCGAUUGAGCCGUUUUUUGCUCAACAACCAAAAUUUUCAACUUAAAACAUUUUAAACAAGUUUGGAAAACAUUUGACAUAAGGUUUUAGUUGAAAACAUAACAUCAUCUAAUUUUAAAAGAUUUAAAACAAAAUAACUCUUAUAUGAUUUUGGUGUAUAAGUAAAUAAUGUAAUGUAUGAAAAACCUAGUGCACCAACAACCUUAUAAAAAGAUCCUAUAAAAUUUAGGUCUUGAAAAAUACUUCUCUUUGACAUCUUCUUUUUCUUAUGGAUUUCCCUUUGGCUUGAUUUUGACUUUGUGAUUGUCAUUUUAGAAAUCUUCUUACCUAAUCACACUUGAAAUAUUAUCAUUAGUUCCAAACCUUAUUUUGUUAUCAUCAAUACCAAGAUUAACCAAACCCUGGUUUCACAAAAAUGAUAGGGAGAAAGCACAAACCGUGUGUAUGAUAUGAAUGGGCAAUCAUAAAAUAGCAAGUUUGUAUAUGAGUAAAAUGAGGUAUACCCUGUUUGUCUUACCAUGGAAAUAAAAAGGAAAAUAUUUUAGAUGUAGCCUAGCUCUUUGAAGAAAUGAGGCUAUAAAUAGGAGAUGAAAGACAGGGGUAUUUCGUUAAAAAAAAUUCUUAACACAUUAAUUUUCUAUGUAGUCGUGCAACCACAUUAGUUAUUUGCAACCAAGUAUCCUUUUCAUACUUAACUUUCUGUAUGCUUCCAUAUCAGCCAUCUAUCUUUUUCAUGCUUAAUUUUCUAUAUGCUACCAUGCAUUUUUCUAUAUGAUACCAUGCUUAAAUUUCUGUAUGCUAUCACCAUGCUUUUUUCUGUAUGUUACCAUGUUGGUGAGGAAAACAACGACAACGCUGAGGAUGUCGAGGGUCUCGUGGUCGGAGAAAGUGAAUCCGGAGAGAAAGGAUCGAAGAGGCAGAGUAGAGGAAGAUCCAAGUAGCGAGGAGGGAGAUGAAGAGACGAAGUUGCCAUUGAUGGUGGUUUUCAUGGUGGAUGGUUUUUGUUAGGCUAAUAGAUUUGAGGUAGUUAGGUUGUAGACAUUGAGGAGAUCUAUAACAUAGAUGUUGGGAGAAAAUCAAAAAAGGGAUUUCUGAUAACUACACUACAAUUUAAAAAACUAAUUUGUGAAAGAAUUAAUUGAUAAAAAUGAUAAAAUCUCAUAUUUAUAAUUCUAACCUUCUCAUUUUUUUUGUCUUGAAAAAUAAUUUGUUUUUCACCUAAAUACUUGUGGACCCGCAAUUUUCACGUGUGUUCCCACUCAAAAUGGUGAGACUUACUUUUUAUUGUGAAAUUUUGAUUUUUUUUUUUAAAAAAAAAGAGUUAGAGUCAUCACUUAUUUUAGUUUAUUUUUAAAAGGGAAAAUAAAAUAAGAAAGAAAAUCCUAUGUGACUCUUUAUUUGGAAAAAAUGAGUUUGCAAAAACUGAAUCUAGAUUCGGAGGUCGGGUUACGAUGAAAAGCCAUAGCACCCCUCUAGCCCGUAUACCUACGAUCUCUAUUAAAUGAAUUGAGGGAAUAAUAGUGAUGGAUACCGUACGAAUGGUGGUGAUGUUCUUGUGAGAAUCGAACCAAGUGUCAAUGGGAAGCCUUAUCCUACUUGGAGGAUGAUACUCUAAUUCUCCAAUUCAUUGCCGAAGCAUACGAAGGGAUCAUGAAGAAGGACUUAGAGAAAGAAAGUAAGGAGAUUAGGGUUAGAGAUAAAGAUAGGUGAGUCAAGUGAGGGUGGGUUUAAAGAGAAAGAGAAUGAGAGAAAUAGACAAGGGCUAGGGUGACAUGUGGUCAGAUUAGUGACCGACGGUGAGGGAAGUGAUGACAAUGAGGAUGGGAGUCAUGGGUAUGGUGUUGGUGAGGGAAAAGAGGAGAGGAAGUAAUAAGGAGAAAAUGAAAAAUGAAGAGGAAAGAAAAAGAGGAAAUGGGAUGUGGGAGUGAAUGAGAGAAAGAAAAUGAAUGGGGGAUUAGAAAGGAAAAAUAAAAAUAAAAAUAAUAACAAUAAUAAAAAUGAAUGAAAAAUAAUAAAAUAACAAGAAAAUAAAAUGAAAACAUAAAAAUUAAUAUAAUAAUUAAAAAGAAAAACCUUGGACAUUUUUUGGGGUCUACAAUACUAUUCAAUAUAUUGAUUAUAUUUAUAUAUGUAUUUUAAAAGAAAAUAUUGUUUUUGUAAGAAAAAAGUAAGGGCAUUUUCAUCUUAAAUGGAUAUCUUUUAGAGUUAAAAAUAAAAAUAAAAAUUGAGGGUUAAAUUUACAAAAUGUGGAUGAUUUCAUCAUUUCAAAUCAAACAACCCUUUCUCCAAUUAAAAAAUUGAUGCCACAUAUUUUCUUAUUUUUUUAUAAUAGUUUAACAAAUAAAAUAAUUUAAUAACAAAAUUAUUAUAAAUAUAUGUAUUAUAAAAUUGAUUAAUUUUAUAUACUAAAUUCAUUAUAUAAAAAUAAUUAUAAUUACUAUUGAUAUAUGAUUUAUGAUUAUAAUAUUUAUAAAAGUAAAUAUUAUGUUUACCGUUUUAUCUUAAAAAAAUAUUAUUUUAUAAUAAAUUAGGUAUUAAUUAAAAAAAUAUUUUGGUCUUUAUUUCAAAAUUUAUCUCAAAAAUUAAUUCAUUUAAUUAUAUUACAAAUAGAAACUGAUCCAAUUUUUAUUUAUUUAUUUGAUAAAUAAUAAAUAUUUUAAUUUUUAAACUUUAUCCAUUACUUUCUUUCACUGUUCAUUUCACUUUUAUAUUACUUUUUAAUAUUUUUUAAGUAAUAACUUUUAAUUGGAUGACAAUUAUUUUCAAUCAAUUUAAAAUAUCGAGGAUAAAUAAAUUUCUAAUUUUUUCAAAAAACGAUCAUAUUAAUCCGAUUUUAUAAAUCAUUUUUUUAAACUACCGUCCAAUAUAAAAAAACGCAGGAUGCGGCUGGUUCACCACCACAGUCGAUGCUCUUCCGGUUCCAGCCUUCAUGCGGCUACUAAUAGGAAGUCGUCGUAUAACUCUCGAAAACUCGUAUGGAAGACGCGUUUGGAACUUACUUGUACGACUGAAAAGGGACUCUCAGGUUGCUUAAUGGUUAUGCAUGCUAAGCCCGGAUCAACUUACGCGUCCAACGGCUUGUAAGCGGAUGUUUGACAUAACAACUUAAUAAUUUAGAAUUACUUAAUAAUUUAAUUUAAAUUAUUAUUUUAUAAAUUAACUUAAUUAUAUAAUUUAAAUAAAAAACAACUUUUAAUUAACUUAUUCUUAAAUUUACAUAUUCAUUUUACCUUUUAAUCUCAACUAUUACUUCACUUCUAUUAUUGUUGGAACUCUUCUCCACUUCAAGAUCAAUAUUACUAACGGCCACAACUUCAUCAAGAGUUUACGUUUUUUUUUUUAUAAUUGCAAUAUAAAUAUUGUUUGAUUUUUUAAUAUUAAUUUUAAAAUAAUUUGUUGUGUAUUUAUUUAGUAAUUAAAUAUUAUUUCAUCUUUUAUAAUAAAUAUUUUCUAAUUAUUUUAUAAAAUUUUAGGUAUUUAUAAUACUUUAAUAUGCAUUUAAAAAAAAUAAAUUUAUUACUUUAUAUUAAUAAGGUAAAUAACAAAUAUUAAUUAUAUUUCAUGAGGGUAAACAUAUCAAUUUGAGAUUUAGAAUAAGUUUUAAGUUAAUUUUAUCAAUAACCUUAAUACUUAAAAUAAGAAUUAAGUAGUAAAUUUUAAUUAAAUAAUUUAAAUAUAACUUAACUUAGCAUCAAUUUAAAUUUUUAAGUAAUUAAGUAAUAAGUAUUAAAUUUUAUCAAAUACAACGGUCAAUUGUGGAACUAUUAAGAGGCAUGUGUUCUCCUCAAUUUUCCAAAUCAAAAAAAUUCCCAUAAGUAGUUACUAGUGUGGUUUAUUUUAUAUGAAACAUAAGUUUUAAGUAAGAUACUUUACUUUCAAUUAUCUUAUAUUUUAGUUAUUUUUUUUAAAAAAAAAUUAAGGUAUUGAUUUGAUAUUUAUAAAAAUCUUAAGAGUCUAUUUGAUAGUAUGAUUUAAAAAUAGUUUUUUAUUUAAAAAAAAACUAUUUUUAAAAUUUUCUAAUAGUGUUUGAUUGUUGUUCUCUUAAAACAAUUUAAAAAAAUGAAGUGAAAUAAAGAACAAUAUUUAGAAAACAAGUAGAAGUUGUUUUCAUAGGUUUUUAAAAACAAAAAGAUAAUAUCAACAUGUUUGACUAUGUUUUUUGUUUUCUAAAACUUGUUUUUAAAAACUAUUUUUUAUUUAAAAAAUAAAAAACAAUUUUAGAAAACAUGGUCAAACAAACCCUUAAUCUUCACUUUUAAAAGUACAUAUGAAAAUAUGGUAAGCAAUCUCCACUUUUAAAAGCACAUAAGAAAAUAUGGCAAGCACAAGAAUGAGACUAAGAUAUAAAUAGUAAGACAAUAAGACAUAAAGGUGUACACCUAUUCAAUUUGAAAAAUAUCUUAAAAGUUUUUACUACAAAAUAAUUAAAUUAAAUUGUUGAAAUUUUCUAUUAAUUUCUUUUUUAAUUCUUUUGAAAAUUUCCUUUAAAUAUUCAUGAUAGUUUGUAUUUUAUAUGAAACCUAAAACCUUUUGUAAGUGUUUUUAGUACCAAGGUUGUUUAAUAUAAAACAUUUUUAUAAUUAAUAUUUAAAAAUGAUCUAAUUUUUAAUAAUAAUAUAAAAUACCAUUAAAUUGAUGAUCAUAAUCUUAUAUUUUUCUUCAAAUGCCCCAACAAAAGAGACUCUCUUCCGCUACUGUCCCCCUGUAUUGUUUACCUUAUUUCCCAUCCAUAAAGAAAUCAACACGCAUUAUCUGCUUGCUUGCAUCGCAAUAGAACAUUCCGGUAGAUUUGAAUUCAAGCUAAACAGUGGUAAACUGCGCAGAAUUCAAUUGUAAAUAUCCGAAUGCUGAGCUAGUGUCAUCCCUUAACCAGAAGAUAAUAGACUACACUAUUUUGCUGAUACCGCCAAGUCUGGUCGAAGUUGUCACUCAUGUCAGGGAACGACCGCGAAAACCAGCCUCCAUCAUCUACUUCCAUAAUCGCUCAAGAGGCAUACAUUUCAAUUCCGAACAGCAAGUGCCCUACAGUGGAUGGGUUGCAUAAUUAAGCUAUUGAGGAAGGAGCCUUUAGGUUUGGGGUACACACCCUAGACUUCAUCCCUCACCGGAUGCAUAUGAUGUCUACUGUCUGAACAUAUUCCAUUGAGCAGCUGAACAUCACCCAGGCAAUAAAGAAUGAACAUGCGAAGACAAAGGGGAACAACAAUAUAUUAUAGUUCAGGGAAAGAAAUUCUAAUGCCCUGCGAUUUUGGAUGCCAUGACAGUGUCCUAGUUUCAUAAGUAACCUGGAAGCUCAGAUGAAAAUCGCCCAAAAUGAAAUACCAUUUUGCUUUUAAGCAUUUGAUGAAUUCAUUUUCCCAUCAUCUAAUCUUAAUCAAGAACCUUCAUCCAUAUUUUGCAUCUGGUGGCUGUCAUUUCCCACAAUAGACUGUGUUAAAGAAAAGACCACGACAGCAUGCCAUUAACAUAAGGUCAUUUUAAUCCAAACCUGAAAUUUGCAGCAGGACUACCACCAUAUCAUUUGGCCAGCAUCAUGUAACUCAGUCCAGAAGUUACCUUGAUUUCUCUUGAAAACUAAAAGUUCCAAAAGAAGUUCACAGCUAGUCAGCAUUACCACAAAGCAGGCAUACAAGGAGACACAUCUCUUAGCACUUAAUCAUAACAGAAGAUACAAUGACCUUCUCAAUUACCAAAGUAGUUAUUAUACCAAAUCACCAGAUAUAUAGUUCCCCAAUGCAUAAGAUCCAGUUGGAACCACGCAUUGGAUCUUAUUAUACCAAAUCACCGGAUACAUAGUUUGCAUGCUUUACGCAUGAUUUAGAAGGUGGACCCAUUCCAUCCAAAGUUGGAACCCUGUGCAAAAGAAGCAGCAUCAGUAUCAUCAAGGUGGCAGCAAUAGCAUGAAAUGAUUCCUACUAUAGAAACAACUGGAGAAAAAUUCAGUUCAAAAGGAUUAUCAAGAGAUUUAAAAGCUAAUAAGACUUCUUAUGAUGGUUUUAAACAGUAAAGGUUUAUUUACAUGAUCUAGUGCUGAUGUAAAGCAUGCAAACACUGUGCAUAUUCUUGACUUUGAUGGGCCUAAACAAACAGGAAGAAUGCAAUGAGAUGAAACAUGUGCAUGGCAAUGACCCAUCUUUACAAUGACUCCAAAGGUUGAGAGAUCACUUGCCUUGGAGUCAUAGAAUUUGAGGAAGAAGCGUGACUUCGGCACUGACAAUUUAGUCUCAAGAAUUGCAGAAAUUGCAGCACUCAGUUCCUUAUUGGUACCAGGGUUAAGGCCACCAAUGGAAACCAAUUCGCCAUAGGCUGCUGGCUGCUCAGUCCCACCAAAAGCAAUCGGUACUGAACCCUUCAACACGAUCAUCACAUACUGCAUAUUGGCAUCACAAAACAGUUAAAAACUAAUAAUUGUAAUUUUAAAAAAUAUAAAAAAAAUAUAAAGCUAACAACCACAUGCACUCCCUUUCAUUUUUUAAGAAAAUAAGAAAAGGAAAAAAUAAUAAUAGGGCUAAAUACAAAUGCUAUUACCCACACUGGAGGAAUUCGUGGUUUUAGGUUUUAGUCUAAACAAACAUGAUGGUGUUUGGCUGCCAGGGAACUAAUUUUCCAGUUAAAUAAUUGACACACAACUGGUCUUCGCUUGGAAUGGUAUGGCUUAAUCUACUUUACACACGGGAUUUGAGAGGAAAAAAAAAUUCAUCUACAGUGGGACCAUAAAAGAAAAUCGGAGCUAUCUCCAAUUCACUGCGAUUGCCCCUACGAAUCAGUUUUGCAAUUUCAAGAAAUGCCAGAAUUACAAGAGUUUUAUCUACAUUGUCUCCGAGUUUGAUGCACAGACAAAGGCAAGCUCUAUUAUAAACUAAGAACCAACCACUCCGGGUUUGGAUCGCUCUUCACUAGCAAGAAAGAAAAACCAGCAAAGCAUGAACAUUAAGGUAGAUCCCCAUCAUCAAACUCCCUUUCAGCAAAUUCAAUGCGCUCUAAAUAACAAACAAUGUUAGAUAUAAAUCAGGGUAAUCACAAACUUUGCAUCAAGAUUAAAGGUAAUAGAAAUUUCUUCUAAGCAAAAUACAUCCAAAUUUAGCUAUCCAUCCAGACAAAUAUUGGGGAAUCGAUUAGGUCAAGCGAUUGCGGAGAAAACCGAAGAAAAUAAAAGAUAUUAAAACUUUAAACAUCACAAAUUAUGUAGAGUCUUGGUUCCGAAGAAGAGUCUCAAAGAAUCCAGAUAAUUUGUCGGCUUCAUAUAGGUAAGCAUUUCUAUUUUCUGUAUCCCAAACAGUGAAAAGAAAAUCUAAAAAUCUUAGUCACUCCAUCUCCCAACGCUUUUGGGGAGCAAGCAAAAGGACGAUAGAAAAAAUCAAGUUAGUGAAAAAACUGAGAUUAAAAACAUGUAAAGCAUAAGAAAGUGGAUGUGAAAAGAAAGGAAGAUAGAGGUUACAGCUUCAGGUUUGCCAAUGAUCUUGGCAACGGUAGAGGUGGCCUCAGAGAGGAUGGAAGAGGUGUCUACGCCGUCCAGGCUCACGUUAGUGGACAGGUUCAGGCAAGGCAUCUUCGCUCUAUCACUCUUUGCUCUGCUCUGCAAAACCCUAGUUGCUUCCCUUGUCUCUCUCUCUCUCUUUCUCCUGUCCACCUAUAGCGGUUCCCUUGGGAUUGAAUCUUUUUGCCCAAAAUGCCCUCUAGGUGUGUUUGUUAACACCUCGGAAAGAAGACUGAGGAAAUAUAAAAUAUGUUAUAAAUAUAUGGUUAUUGUUUUUGAACACAUAAUUAUCCAUGAUAAUUUUUACUUUUCUAGUAAAUAAUUAAAUAUUAAAUUUAAUUUUGAUUUUUUUAUAACUCAAAAUUCUUUUAUAACUCUAUUUCUUCUUUAUUAUUCAUUUUAUUUAUAACGCCUUAUCAAUACUAACACCUUAACCCACUUGGAACCAAAAAAAUUCUUUCAACGCAUCAUUCAAAGAUACACUACAAAGUUUUAUAUUAUUUUAUCAUUUCCAAAAAUAUUUUGUUCUUCUACCUUAUAUAUAAUAUUUGAAUUAUAUUAUAUUUUUUCGCUUGAAAAUGUUGAUAUUUUAAUUUUGUACAACCUAAAGGUGCCAAAUGGGAGCGGGCCUUUAUGGGUCGACAAAACCUAUUUAAAAAUUGUGUUGUGUCAUGCUAAUCCAUGUAAACCAAAUAGUUGACCCAACACAGAUCAUGAGCUUAUGGGCCAAUCGUGUCGGUAUGCCAUGCUAGGGGCCAUAUUGGUGGGCCAUGUUAAUAGGUUGUGCUGAUGGGCAUGUUGAUAUGUCAUUCACUUUAUCAAAAUUUUUAAUUUACUUUUUGAAGUCAUUUUGUCUUAACUUUUUCACUAUUAAAUAAAAUCUCUUUUUACUACUUUAAACAUAUCUAAUGCCGACUAAGCAUGCACCCUCACUAGUCCAAAGAUAGGAACGGAGAAAUCCAAGGUAUUCUCUACAAAAUGACUUUCCAAAAAGUGGAAACAAACCUAUCAAACUCCAAUGAACCAAUAGGUAAGUCUAACAAAUCGACAAAUGAUGCAAAAAUGAAUGAAUAAGUAGCUCCUAGCUAAAAUAGAACUCCAUCUCACUAGAAAUGAAAUUGAAUAAUACUUAUGACAACAUCUAACAAAGCCUAAGCAUUCUAGUAUGUCAUGGAAAAUACUCUUCCUUAGGCUUUUAGCUUAUGUGUUGUUUAUUUUUUAAAAUUUUUGUUGAAAGCAAGUUGCUUUCAAAUUUUAAAUUGUUUAUUUUUUCAAUUUUUGUUAACACGUUACUUUUUUUUAAAAAAAAAAAUUACUAAAUAGAUAAUGUCAAAAUAUUUAGUUUUUUUUUUAAAUGCUAAAAAUAAUGUGUUGGUUUUUUUUCUUUCUUAAUAUUUAAUGGAAAUAAAAUAUUUAAAAAAAACAUUUAACUUAAUACUUAACAGUAAUAACCAUUAUUUUGUUUUAAGUUCUAUUUAGAAUUUUAAGAAGAAAAAAAACACCACCUUAGACUUGUAGGGAACCUCAAAUUACUUCAUUUUCAUACCCAAGAUCAUUAUGAUGCAUAAAAUUCUAUCAUAAGCUCUCUAGAUCUUAUCACAACAAAAACAUAAUAGGACCACAUUUCUAGAUAUUAGUGUCAUAGUUGUGAUUUAGAUGUUCUUAUACCAAUUCCUAUUAGUGUAAAAAGAUCCAAAACUCCAAAAGAUCUCUUAAACACAAUGGUUUUUCACCCUAAUGACUCAUUCUUGAGUCUAGGCAUCGAGACUAUAGAGAUCUCAUAGAGAGUGGAGGUUAAGGUUCUCUCUC